RNAcentral lists this non-coding RNA (150 nucleotides) under Platyophrya macrostoma. The record is from RNAcentral. Lineage: Eukaryota; Ciliophora; Colpodea; Cyrtolophosidida; Platyophryidae.
UUCUUUCUUUUAAUUCUCUCAUGAAGUAUAGAGACAAUGUUGUCAAAAAAAAUCAAACACUUGUGGUGAAUUAUCUCUCGAAAAAAGAAUAUACAUCCUUGCUUCUUGACUUCUCUUUGGAGAGAACUUGGAUAAUGUUGAAUGAAGAGU